GACGAACGCUGGCGGCGUGCUUAACACAUGCAAGUCGAACGGUGAAGCGCGUUCCUUUUUGUUGUGUGUGGAUUAGUGGACGAGUGGUUAAUAACACGGUAGUAUCCUGCGCACUUCUGCUGGAUAACCGCAUGAAAGUGUUGCUAAUACGGGAUAUUCUGGGUCUGUCGCAUUAUGGGUGUGGGGAGGAUUUGGUUUCGGUGGGGGAUGAGCUCGGGUCCUGUCAGCUUUUUGGUGGGGUGAUGGCCUACGAAGGCGGGGACGGGUAGCCGGCCGGAGAGGGUGGACGGUCACAGUGGGAGUGAGGCCCGGCACAGACUCCUAAGGGAGGCAGAAGUGGUGAAUAGUGAACAAGGGGCGCCAGCCUGAUGCAGGGACGGCGCGUGAGGGAUGGAGGCCGUCGGGUUGUGAACCUCUUUAGUCAGUGAAGCAGGCCUGCCUCGUUUGUGGGUGGGUUGACGGUAGCUGGAUAAGAAGCGCCGGCUAACUACGUG
Molecule: ribosomal RNA, 494 nt
Filed under: uncultured bacterium
Lineage: Bacteria
Description: partial 16S ribosomal RNA
Rfam family: Bacterial small subunit ribosomal RNA
Source: RNAcentral